UGGGGAAUCUUGCGCAAUGGGCGAAAGCCUGACGCAGCAACGCCGCGUGCGGGAUGAAGGCCUUCGGGUUGUAAACCGCUUUCAGUGGGGACGAACCAAGACGGUACCCACAGAAGAAGCCCCGGCCAACUACGUGCCAGCAGCCGCGGUAACACGUAGGGGGCAAGCGUUGUCCGGAUUCAUUGGGCGUAAAGAGCUCGUAGGCGGUUCGAUAAGUCGGGUGUGAAACCUCCAGGCUCAACCUGGAGACGCCACCCGAUACUGUCGUGACUAGAGUCCAGUAGGGGAGCGUGGAAUUCCUGGUGUAGCGGUGAAAUGCGCAGAUAUCAGGAGGAACACCAGCGGCGAAGGCGGCGCUCUGGGCUGGAACUGACGCUGAGGAGCGAAAGCGUGGGGAGCGAACAGGAUUAGAUACCCGGGUAGUCCCUGAGCGGGCUGGCAAGGCGCAU
RNAcentral lists this ribosomal RNA (449 nucleotides) under uncultured bacterium. RNAcentral's name for it is "bacterial SSU rRNA". It matches the Rfam family "Bacterial small subunit ribosomal RNA", at positions 355 to 825 of the family's 1533-position model. The record is from RNAcentral.